This 466-nucleotide ribosomal RNA is filed under the name Calantica spinosa. RNAcentral describes it as "partial 16S ribosomal RNA". It matches the Rfam family "Bacterial large subunit ribosomal RNA", at positions 1843 to 2569 of the family's 2925-position model. The record is from RNAcentral. Lineage: Eukaryota; Metazoa; Arthropoda; Thecostraca; Calanticomorpha; Calanticidae.
UUUUAGGAGGUAAGGCCUGCUCACUGAAACAAUAAAGAGCCGCAGUAUUUUGACUGUGCUAAGGUAGCAUMAUCAUUAGCCUUUUAAAUGGGGGCUGGUAUGAAUGGUUUAACGAGAAAUUAGCUUUUUUUGUAAAAUAGAUUUAAAUUAAAUUUUCAGUGAAAAGUCUGWAAUAAUUUAKAAAGACGAGACCACCCUGUAGAGUUUUAUAGUAUAGUUUUAUAUAUGAAAAAAUUGAUUUUAAAAAUUGUUUUUUUUAAUAUAUUUUGUUGGGGCGACGUUUAGAUAAAAAAAACUCUUUGUUUUAUAUUUUCUAACUAGAAUUUUAUUGAUCCUUUAAAAAGGAAUAUAGGAAUAAAUUACCUUAGGGAUAACAGCGUAAUCUUUUUUGAGAGUUCUAAUCGACGAAAAGGUUUGCGACCUCGAUGUUGGAUUAAAAUAAAGGUAAGGUGCAGCCGCUUUGAUA